GACGAACGCUGGCGGCGUGCUUAACACAUGCGAGUCGAACGCUGAAGACCUGGCUUUUGUUGGGUUGGAUGAGUGGCGAACGGGUGAGUAACACGUGAGUAACCUGCCCUCUUCUUUGGGAUAACGCCCGGAAACGGGUGCUAAUACUGGAUAUUCACUGGCCUUCGCAUGGGGGUUGGUGGAAAGGUUUGUUCUGGUGGGGGAUGGGCUCGCGGCCUAUCAGCUUGUUGGUGGGGUGAUGGCCUACCAAGGCUUUGACGGGCAGCCGGCCUGAGAGGGUGACCGGUCACAUUGGGACUGAGAUACGGCCCAGACUCCUACGGGAGGCAGCAGUGGGGAAUAUUGCACAAUGGGCGAAAGCCGGAUGCAGCGACGCCGCGUGAGGGAUGGAGGCCUUCGGGUUGGAAACCUCUUUCGCUCAUGGUCAAGCCGCAACUGUGGGUUGUGGUGGGGGUAGUGGGUAAAGAAGCGCCGGCUAACUACGUG
This 486-nucleotide ribosomal RNA is filed under the name uncultured bacterium. Its description in RNAcentral is "partial 16S ribosomal RNA". It matches the Rfam family "Bacterial small subunit ribosomal RNA", at positions 28 to 507 of the family's 1533-position model. The record is from RNAcentral.